This 460-nucleotide ribosomal RNA is filed under the name uncultured bacterium. RNAcentral's name for it is "partial 16S ribosomal RNA". It matches the Rfam family "Bacterial small subunit ribosomal RNA", at positions 338 to 795 of the family's 1533-position model. The record is from RNAcentral.
CCUACGGGAGGCAGCAGUGAGGAAUAUUGGUCAAUGGACGAGAGUCUGAACCAGCCAAGUAGCGUGAAGGAUGACUGCCCUAUGGGUUGUAAACUUCUUUUAUAUGGGAAUAAAACGUUCCACGUGUGGGAUUUUGUAUGUACCAUAUGAAUAAGGAUCGGCUAACGCCGUGCCAGCAGCCGCGGUAAUACGGAGGAUCCGAGCGUUAUCCGGAUUUAUUGGGUUUAAAGGGAGCGUAGGUGGAUUGUUAAGUCAGUUGUGAAAGUUUGCGGCUCAACCGUAAAAUUGCAGUUGAAACUGGCAGUCUUGAGUACAGUAGAGGUGGGCGGAAUUCGUGGUGUAGCGGUGAAAUGCUUAGAUAUCACGAAGAACUCCGAUUGCGAAGGCAGUUCACUGGACUGCAACUGACACUGAGGCUCGAAAGUGUGGGUAUCAAACAGGAUUAGAUACCCGUGUAGUC